GGGGUUGUGGCUUAGUGAUAGAGUGCUUGCCUAGCAAGCAUGAGGCACCGGGUUUGAUCCCCAGCACCA
This 69-nucleotide transfer RNA is filed under the name Ictidomys tridecemlineatus (thirteen-lined ground squirrel). Its description in RNAcentral is "Spermophilus tridecemlineatus (thirteen-lined ground squirrel) tRNA". It matches the Rfam family "tRNA". From Rfam's summary of the family: Transfer RNA (tRNA) molecules are approximately 80 nucleotides in length. Their secondary structure includes four short double-helical elements and three loops (D, anti-codon, and T loops). The record is from Rfam by way of RNAcentral. Lineage: Eukaryota; Metazoa; Chordata; Mammalia; Rodentia; Sciuridae. RNAcentral also lists the same sequence under 1 other name.